GCCGCCAUAGUUAAGUGGUUUAACGGCGCAUUCGUAAUGCGCAAACGCAGGUUCAAUUCCUGUUGGCGGCUCCA
This 74-nucleotide transfer RNA is filed under the name Oligoflexus sp. RNAcentral's name for it is "tRNA-Thr". It matches the Rfam family "tRNA". Rfam says of the family: Transfer RNA (tRNA) molecules are approximately 80 nucleotides in length. Their secondary structure includes four short double-helical elements and three loops (D, anti-codon, and T loops). The record is from RNAcentral. Lineage: Bacteria; Pseudomonadati; Bdellovibrionota; Oligoflexia; Oligoflexales; Oligoflexaceae.